Long non-coding RNA from Oncorhynchus tshawytscha (Chinook salmon), 1415 nucleotides. RefSeq lists it as uncharacterized. Lineage: Eukaryota; Metazoa; Chordata; Actinopteri; Salmoniformes; Salmonidae. The transcript is spliced from 2 exons. The record is from RefSeq and is a predicted model, not a curated record.
AUGAAUGAUGUGCAGUGUCACAUGUUUAGUGUAAAUUGUCACAUGACCAGAGCUGUUUACUUCCUGGUUGCACCAUGAGAAGAGGAUGGCUGCAUCAAAGCUCCCAAACAAAAGUUUCACUUUGAGUCUAGUUCAGGAUAUGUUGGAUCUAGGUGACUGCCCAGACAGGGCAUGCAACAUUGCAGUUAUCCCUCAAAAUGAGAAAGAUGCUGUCCUGAGUGAUUGUGAUAGCGAUGGGUCAGAUAUGGACUAUGGACAGGCCAUUUGCCAGCCAGGCUGUUGAAUGCAUAUGCUGAACCUAUGCAAACAGAUCAUGACAGGAACAAUGUUAUCAGUGAUGAUGACCUACCCCUCACCCCCCCAUCCACAAUCUUCCCCACCCCCCUCCAUUGGUGAUAAUGAAGAGCCAAAAGGCCUCUACCCGCCAGAGGAUCCAGUCAGAAGAGCCAAGGGCCUCUACAAGCCAUAGGGGUCAGCCAGAAGAGCCAAGGGAAAAGCUGCAGGUGGUCAAAAAUAAAGAUUGAGCGUUCAAACGAUCGAAGAGGCCGGCCACUGCUGUGAUUCCAAAACACAUCGUAUACAGCCCAAAUAUGCAAAAGUUUGGCACAAAACCACUGGGCCAUGGAAGGAGAUCUUUACUGGCUGCUACUGUUGAAGAUCAGGCAAGAUAUGACAAAGCUUCUCACUGGCCAAUCAACACGAUGCACCGGUUCCAGAGAAGUCGUCAUUGGGACAAACGUAUUACCUAUGCAUGUGAGAAAUGCAAAGCGCCACUGCACAUUGAGUGCUUCAAGAUAUACAAUGGACAGUAGAAAAGGAGAUAAGAGCGAAUGAAAAAGGUCUGAAAAAGACAUGAAAAGAAAAAUAGAAAAGUCGAUAAAGGGUGAGGAGAAGCAGUACAACAGACUCUAGGAAGAAAAGAAAAGUUGAUAGAGGAGAAGCAGUACAACGGACUGUAGGAAGAAAAGAAAAGUCGAUAGAGGAGAAGCAGUACAACAGACUCUAGGAAGAAAAGAAAAGUCGAUAGAGGAGAAGCAGUACAACGGACUGUAGGAAGAAAAGAAAAGUCGAUAGAGGAGAAGCAGUACAACGGACUGUAGGAAGAAAAGAAAAGUCGAUAGAGGAGAAGCAGUACAACGGACUCUAGGAAGAAAAGAAAAGUCGAUAGAGGAGAAGCAGUACAACGGACUCUAGGAAGAAAAGAAGGCUACAGGCUACCUAUCCUACAUGUUACCUUUAUGUUCAGUGGGAAUGAAUCACACGACUGCUAUACAGUUGUUAGUGAAUGUUGCACUAAAAUGUCAAUGACAAUGUUACAAUGAAUAUUGCACUGAAGUACAAGUUCAAAUGUUACAAUGAAUUUACAAUAUUAAUGUUUCAGUACAUGUUGCACUAAAGUAACAAUGUUGAAAUAC